This 63-nucleotide transfer RNA is filed under the name Valleriola javanica. Its description in RNAcentral is "tRNA-Glu". Lineage: Eukaryota; Metazoa; Arthropoda; Insecta; Hemiptera; Leptopodidae. RNAcentral also lists the same sequence under 1 other name. The record is from RNAcentral.
AUUUAUAUAGUUUAUAUUAAAACACUCCAUUUUCAGUGGGGAGAUGAAUUUUUUCUAUAAAUA